RNAcentral lists this long non-coding RNA (309 nucleotides) under Lotus japonicus. Its description in RNAcentral is "long non-coding RNA (LJAP_LNC001405)". Lineage: Eukaryota; Viridiplantae; Streptophyta; Magnoliopsida; Fabales; Fabaceae. The record is from RNAcentral.
GAAAACAGAGAACCGCAAAAAAGUUAUAUGAAGCCACACCUUUCGACAAAGAAAGCACAGCUUCAACAACAGUGAGAACAAGCAGAGAGAGAAAGUCUUCACCUUCAAAUUUCCUGUUAGAUCACUAUAUAAUAUUGUAGUUACUUCAUACUGCAGAGACAGAAAUGGAGUUUGAAGAUCAAGAGGAGCAAGAGGAAGAGCUCUGUAUGGCCACAGCACCGAGUUACGACUCACUCACUCACCCUUCCCGAGUUAAGAUGCCAGGUGGCGGUGCAGAACCCAUCAUGGCUCACCCUCUCAGAAACAACA